RNAcentral lists this long non-coding RNA (685 nucleotides) under Brassica rapa (field mustard). RNAcentral's name for it is "long non-coding RNA (BRAP_LNC003406)". Lineage: Eukaryota; Viridiplantae; Streptophyta; Magnoliopsida; Brassicales; Brassicaceae. The record is from RNAcentral.
UAAAAUACAAAUAAUUUUGAAAUUACGUUUAAAGUUUUGGUUAUGAAAAAAAUACUUUGAAACUUUAAAUUUAGAGUUUUGCAAACUUUAAAAUGUUAGAUAGAUAGUUUUUUUGGAGAUGCAUUUAGUGGUUAUGGUAGUAACUCAGAAAAUGAAAAAUCUAUACUUUUAUACUCCCUCCGUUUUUUAAUAUAAGUCGUUUUACAGUUAUACACGUAGAUUAAGAAAACCAUUAAUUUCUUAUAUUUUCUAGACAAAAACAUCAUUAAUUAUUUACCUAACCACAAUUCAACCAAUAUAAAAAUAGAAGAUAUAUUACCAUUGGUCAUACAACAUUAAUUAUUAAUAAAUUUUACAUAGAAAACCGAAAACGACAUAUAAUUUGGAACAAAAAAAUUUCUCUAAAACGACUUAUAUUAAAAAACGGAGGGAGUAGUACCUAACUUUAACGAUGGACCACUUAUAUUCGAGUCCUUAGCAUAAAAUGAUUCUCCUCGAAAUCCGUUUACUUUCUUCAUUAUUUUUUCCUUUUCAGUUUUGGCGUUUUCGUAAUACUUUUGUCUUCAAUCUUGAAAGCUAUUAGUAUAAAAACUUAUAAACACAUCACAUGCAAUGAAUUAAUACGAAUACAUAACCAGAAUGACAAAUUUUCAAUGAAUAUUUAAUACCAGUAAGUACUACUCCG